UACGUAGGGGGCAAGCGUUGUCCGGAUUUAUUGGGCGUAAAGCGCUCGCAGGCGGUCCCGUGCGUCGUGCGUGAAAGACCCCGGCUCAACUGGGGAGGGUCGUGCGAAACGGGUGAACUAGAGGCCAGUAGGGGGAUGCGGAAUUCCGGGUGUAGUGGUGGAAUGCGUAGAGAUCCGGAGGAACACCAGCGGCGAAGGCGGCAUCCUGGACUGGUCCUGACACUCAGGAGCGAAAGCGUGGGGAGCGAGCCGG
This 253-nucleotide ribosomal RNA is filed under the name uncultured bacterium. RNAcentral describes it as "partial 16S ribosomal RNA". It matches the Rfam family "Bacterial small subunit ribosomal RNA", at positions 524 to 776 of the family's 1533-position model. The record is from RNAcentral.